GGGUUUAACUCCUGGAUGUUACCGUUUCGCCCGAUGGACUGGGCGGCGUUUUGGUGUCUGACUCGGUAACCGAAUCGGGAGCACCAUCUGCGUAGGCUGGGGUUUCCCCGGUUUAAGACUUGCGUCCCCUACGGUCUUGGACAGCCCCCGCCAGGCAGGGACCCCAAUCUUGACGCCGCGCCCGAAGGCACAGCGA
Molecule: small RNA, 196 nt
Organism: Pseudomonas oryzihabitans
Lineage: Bacteria; Pseudomonadati; Pseudomonadota; Gammaproteobacteria; Pseudomonadales; Pseudomonadaceae
Rfam family: Pseudomonas sRNA P27
Source: Rfam